GAUGAACGCUAGCGGCAGGCUUAACACAUGCAAGUCGAGGGGCAGCAUGAUGAAACUUUCGGGUUUCAUUGAUGGCGACCGGCGCAAGGGUGCGUAACGCGUGAGCAACUUGCCCUUAUCAGGGGGAUAACCGGUGGAAACGCCGACUAAUACCCCAUAGCAUCACUUGAAGGCAUCUUUUAGUGAUUAAAGAAUUUCGGAUAAGGAUAGGCUCGCGUGACAUUAGCUAGAUGGCGGGGUAACGGCCCACCUAGUCUACGAUGUCUAGGGGUUCUGAGAGGAAGGUCCCCCACACUGGAACUGAGACACGGUCCAGACUCCUACGGGAGGCAGCAGUGAGGAAUAUUGGUCAAUGGUCGGAAGACUGAACCAGCCAAGUAGCGUGAAGGAUGAAGGUUCUAUGGAUUGUAAACUUCUUUUGUUUGGGUAAUAAAUGAUACUACGUGUAGUAUUUUGCAUGUACCUUACGAAUAAGCAUCGGCUAA
RNAcentral lists this ribosomal RNA (485 nucleotides) under uncultured bacterium. RNAcentral's name for it is "bacterial SSU rRNA". It matches the Rfam family "Bacterial small subunit ribosomal RNA", at positions 28 to 500 of the family's 1533-position model. The record is from RNAcentral.